UAACUAGGAUUCCCCCAGUAACUGCGAGUGAAGAGGGAAGAGCUCAUCAUUGGAAUCUGGCAGUGUUGCACUGUCCGAGUUGUAGAUGAGGAGUAGUCCGUCUGGACUGCAUGGCGUCCAAGUACAAUAGGCCGUCAGUGGGACAUCAUAGAGGGUGACAAUCCCGUCCUUGAUGCCAAUGUGCAAGUCCGUUACGAUGGCUAUCUCAGAGAGUCGAGCAGUUUGGGAUUUGCUGCUUAAACAUGGGAGGUAGAUUCCUUCUAAAGCUAAAUACAGGCGAGAGACCGAUAGAGAACAAGUACCGCAAGGGAAAGAUGAAAUAGAACUCUGUGAAGGGAGUCAAAAGGCGUGAAAUUGUUGCGAGAGAAGCGAUUCAAGUCAGCGUAGCUAGGCCCAUCAAGCGUCUUCGCUUUGGACUAGCUUUGCCAGCGGUCUUGUCCUUAGAGACUUGACUUUGUAUAUGUGUCCAGCCUGGUAUGCACAGGUAGCCCCUCUGGGGGCCAGUGGCACAGCUGGUGGAAUGGCUUGCAAUCGACCCGUCUUGAAACACGGACCAAGGAGUCUAACAUGUAUGCGAGUAUAAGGGUGGCAAACCCGUAUGCGCAAUGAAAGUGAUUUUCGGUGAUUGAGAAUGGCCUGAUGACCAGACAAGCAAUAC
This 658-nucleotide ribosomal RNA is filed under the name Cantharellus vaginatus. RNAcentral describes it as "partial large subunit ribosomal RNA". It matches the Rfam family "Eukaryotic large subunit ribosomal RNA", at positions 66 to 761 of the family's 3401-position model. Lineage: Eukaryota; Fungi; Basidiomycota; Agaricomycetes; Cantharellales; Hydnaceae. The record is from RNAcentral.